CAACAUCACAGGGUGACAGCCGUAGGCUUUUCCCAGGGAUGGAGACGGCGGAGCUCAGAGCCUAGUAAACAAAGAACAGCGGGACAAUGACCAUUCUAGAAGAGAACCAAUCAGGUUUCCCACUGGUUACUGGUAGGUGGGUAUGGAAUCCUAUCCUCCUUCAGAAUAGAGGAACUUAGGAGAUCGUACUCUCUGUUCUCAGCCUCCAGCUGAACCCAUUCCAUAUCUGUUUUUUUUUUCCAAAACCAGGAGUCAAUCUUUGGGAGGCUACUUUAUAGUCCUCCUGACUUUUCUUCUGCUCCCAUCACAGUGCUCUCUUCUGAGGCGAAUUCUUCAUUCUGGUGACACUUCAAAAACAACAAGCCAUUAUCUCUGUCAGAGGACUUUGAUGCAAACAACAAAAAUUGUGAGUAAAUUAAGAAAAAAGAAUUUACUGGAAGGAUACAGACUUGAAGGCUGGAGAGUUGGAUAUGGAAAAUGAGUUGCAACCUAGGAAAGCCAGGCCGCAGGCACCACAACGAAGUCUGUGCCUCAGGAAUGAUCUGGAAUGGCCACCAUCACUAUGAUUCAGAGUUCAGAGAAGUGUGUCCAGGUGGCCAACCCUGGGUCACAAGUCAUGUUCUGGCUGCGGGGGGUCAGGGAGAAUAUCUCCCUGCUUCAGCUUCCCCAGUCUCAGCAAUACUGCAAAUACAGCAUAGAAUGGAGCAUUCCGCCAAGUAAGAAGGACCCCAGAUGCUGAUGGUAAACUAAAUAAAACAAAUUAUCCACCACGCCCUCA
Long non-coding RNA from Hyaena hyaena (striped hyena), 778 nucleotides. RefSeq lists it as uncharacterized. The record is from RefSeq and is a predicted model, not a curated record. The transcript is spliced from 3 exons. NCBI's taxonomy places the organism in Eukaryota, Metazoa, Chordata, Mammalia, Carnivora, Hyaenidae.